CAUAGGUUAAUGAGGCGAACCGGGGGAACUGAAACAUCUAAGUACCCCGAGGAAAAGAAAUCAACCGAGAUUCCCCCAGUAGCGGCGAGCGAACGGGGAGCAGCCCAGAGCCUGAAUCAGUGUGUGUGUUAGUGGAAGCGUCUGGAAAGGCGCGCGAUACAGGGUGACAGCCCCGUACACAAAAAUGCACAUACUGUGAGCUCGAUGAGUAGGGCGGGACACGUGGUAUCCUGUCUGAAUAUGGGGGGACCAUCCUCCAAGGCUAAAUACUCCUGACUGACCGAUAGUGAACCAGUACCGUGAGGGAAAGGCGAAAAGAACCCCGGCGAGGGGAGUGAAAAAGAACCUGAAACCGUGUACGUACAAGCAGUGGGAGCACGCUUAGGCGUGUGACUGCGUACCUUUUGUAUAAUGGGUCAGCGACUUAUAUUCUGUAGCAAGGUUAACCGAAUAGGGGAGCCGAAGGGAAACCGAGUCUUAACUGGGCGUUAAGUUGCAGGGUAUAGACCCGAAACCCGGUGAUCUAGCCAUGGGCAGGUUGAAGGUUGGGUAACACUAACUGGAGGACCGAACCGACUAAUGUUGAAAAAUUAGCGGAUGACUUGUGGCUGGGGGUGAAAGGCCAAUCAAACCGGGAGAUAGCUGGUUCUCCCCGAAAGCUAUUUAGGUAGCGCCUCGUGAAUUCAUCUCCGGGGGUAGAGCACUGUUUCGGCAAGGGGGUCAUCCCGACUUACCAACCCGAUGCAAACUGCGAAUACCGGAGAAUGUUAUCACGGGAGACACACGGCGGGUGCUAACGUCCGUCGUGAAGAGGGAAACAACCCAGACCGCCAGCUAAGGUCCCAAAGUCAUGGUUAAGUGGGAAACGAUGUGGGAAGGCCCAGACAGCCAGGAUGUUGGCUUAGAAGCAGCCAUCAUUUAAAGAAAGCGUAAUAGCUCACUGGUCGAGUCGGCCUGCGCGGAAGAUGUAACGGGGCUAAACCAUGCACCGAAGCUGCGGCAGCGACGCUGAUGCGUUGUUGGGUAGGGGAGCGUUCUGUAAGCCUGUGAAGGUGUGCUGUGAGGCAUGCUGGAGGUAUCAGAAGUGCGAAUGCUGACAUAAGUAAC
RNAcentral lists this ribosomal RNA (1107 nucleotides) under Escherichia coli. Its description in RNAcentral is "partial 23S ribosomal RNA". It matches the Rfam family "Bacterial large subunit ribosomal RNA", at positions 165 to 1310 of the family's 2925-position model. The record is from RNAcentral. Lineage: Bacteria; Pseudomonadati; Pseudomonadota; Gammaproteobacteria; Enterobacterales; Enterobacteriaceae.